CUCAUCAAAUGUAGAAUUAUUUAAAUAUAUAUGUAUAUUUUAGUAGAAAAUGUGAAAAUAGUUGUAGAACAGAAAUAAUAAACUCAUCUUGAUUUUUGGCUGAUGGUCCCUUUUAAAAUGACAGUAAGUACAUAUUUAUUUAUUCAUUCACACAAUAAAAUUGUUUUGUUUUUUUUUUAAAGAAAGUUGUCAUCAAACCAGAUUCCGAACACAAACAGAUCCAAACCUCCAGCAGGACUCCAGAAAAGGUGAGAAAAACAUUAAAAUCAGGAUUUGAUCAACCAGAAACGUCUCUGAACACAAACAUCUGACAGUUUCUGAUCGACGUCUUUGAUUCCAAAGACAGUGUGAAAGGUCCGAUCUGGUUUCUAGCAGAUCUGAUCUGGAUAAAACACGUUUUCAUUUGUUGCUCAGGUUCCUGCAGCUGCAGAUGUCGACAUGACGGACCGUUACGUCCUGCUGCUCACCUGGCAGGUGUGGCCAGUGUGUCCUGAUUGGCACCUGCUUGUAUUUAAGGCAGGAGCUGGGUGGGUUUUAGUUUUAGUUUUUGUCCCCUUCUGCAUUCUAGACCCGAGCCCGGUUUGCCAUCGGGUCGUAACGGUGACCUCUGAAGAUCCUGAAACCAACGGAGAGUUUGACUUUAAAUAAAAGGAAAUGGCUCCACUGGAGGUCUUGCCUUAAAAGCAGAAAUUUGUUUAAAACAAGAUG
Oryzias melastigma (Indian medaka) is the source of this 708-nucleotide long non-coding RNA. RefSeq lists it as uncharacterized. NCBI's taxonomy places the organism in Eukaryota, Metazoa, Chordata, Actinopteri, Beloniformes, Adrianichthyidae. The transcript has 2 exons. The record is from RefSeq and is a predicted model, not a curated record.